Molecule: ribosomal RNA, 253 nt
Filed under: uncultured bacterium
Lineage: Bacteria
Description: partial 16S ribosomal RNA
Rfam family: Bacterial small subunit ribosomal RNA
Source: RNAcentral
UACGAGUGCCCCGAGCGUUAUCCGGAAUCAUUGGGCGUAAAGGGUGUGUAGGUGGCCGUGUUAGUCUUUUGUCAAAGCCCGGGGCUCAACUCCGGAUCCACAAAAGAAACGGCACAGCUAGAGGAUGGCAGGGAUGUAUGGAACUCAUGGAGUAGGGGUGAAAUCCGUUGAUAUCAUGGGGAACACCAAAAGCGAAAGCAGUACAUUGGGCCACUCCUGACACUGAAACACGAAAGCGUGGGUAGCGAAUGGG